Long non-coding RNA from Homo sapiens (human), 2140 nucleotides. RefSeq lists it as uncharacterized. The record is from RefSeq and is a predicted model, not a curated record. The transcript has 2 exons. NCBI's taxonomy places the organism in Eukaryota, Metazoa, Chordata, Mammalia, Primates, Hominidae.
ACGACAUAUAUUUGCACUGACACAAGAAACGUCUCCAGUGACAGGAGAGACCGUCGCGGUGCCGGAGCGGGUUGGGAUGGAAUUCGCGGUGACCCAGGCACUGACUGGCACGCGCGGCUGCGUGCGGGCACCGAGGAGCCGAUGGAACUAGCGCGUAGAGCGCUGUUCACGCGGAGCUCCAAACUCUACAAGGAAGCCCCGAGAUGGAGACAAUGAAAAACAAGCACACGGUUCACGCUGGGGUCCCUUCGAGCCGCAGGAAAGGGAGAGGCGGCUCGCGGGGCGGCCUGCCGCGAGUUGAGAUGCGCUGAGCACCGGGCACAGCGGCCGUUUGGAGAAGCAGACGUGCGGCUCAUUCGGGGAGGGCGCAGAGGUGUCUCAUGGGGGAGGCGCAGCCAGCUUCUGAAGUGGGAAUAGAGGGAUUGUUUCCAGGAUUAGCAGCCAUGGAGAGGGUGGGGGUGCAGGCUGGAUAAGGGGCCGUUCUUGCGGAUUGGCAGCCAGUUUGGGCAGCUCGGUUGGAGGGGUUGUUCUCCAGUAUUACUGGCCAUGGUUCGGGCAGCCUGGACUUUAUGGGGGAAUGCAGGGAUUGUUUGGAGCAAUCAGCACCCAUAGGCUGGGCAGGCUCGAUUCUUUAUUGGGGGGUGUCUUGCUAUGUUACCCAGGCUGGACUCAAAUUCCUUGGCUCAAGUGAUCCUCCCACCUCCUCAGCCUCCCAAAGUGCUGGAAUUACAGGCGUGAGUUGCUGCACCCAGCCUGCUCAGUGACGUUGAUGUUAGCCAGAUUCCAUCUUAUCUAUGGAAAACGGAAGCACAACAGGUGAAGUUGCCUGCCAAGUCAGCCAGCUGGUGGCUGCUUCCUCUGUACACCUCACCCCAAAUCUGAAAGCUCUUGGAAGGAGCAGUGCCUCACACACACCACAGCCAUUCUGGUGCCGGGUUGGAGCAGCUGCACAUUUAUAAACGCCUGCCCAUUGCCUGAUCUCAGGGUGCCACUGAGGACGAGGGGCCUGUGCACAGCACGCGUGUGAUGUGCACUUCUGGGUCACAAGAGUCCUGGGGAGACUCCAGAGGAAAAACCACCCAUAGGCACUAUGCCAUGACCACACCCAUGGACAACAGGACAGUUGUGACUCAGUCACCAGGAAGAACGCUGGCCAGAGAUGAGAGAUUCUGAGGGUGAUUUUCUUUCCCUGACCUGAUGAGCCAGAGCUCUGGCCACUGCGCUGUCUCCCGGGGCCAGCUGAGAGAACUCCACCUCCAGAGGCCCAGAGCCUUGGAAUGGAAGGGUGCAGCUUGCAGGGGCUUCUAUUAGGGACACAGAGGGCCAGACACCAAUAAACUGCCCUCUGCUUGCUGCCAUUAGGGUCAACAGAAUCAGUGCUGCGGGGACCAACUCAGCCUGACCCACUGUGAACAGUGCCCUGCUCACGGUGCUGGGAAGAUACCAACAUUUGUGAAAUAUGAGGCACAUUGUUUUCUAUACAUUUGGGGGAAAAUGGCAACUGUAAAAAUGACAUAAUAGGCCGGAUUUGGUGGCUCACGCCUGUAAUCCCAGUACUUUGGAGGCCGAGAGGGGCGCAUUGCUUGAGUCCGGGGUUUAAGACUGGGCAAUAUCUCGGAACCCUAUCUCUAGAAAGAAUACAAAAAUUAGUUAGACAGCGGUGCCUGCCUGUGGUCCCAGCUACUUAGAAGGCUGAGGCGGAAGGAUCGCUUGAGCCUGGGAGGUGGAGGUUGCAGUGAACUGAGAUCCCACUACUGCACUCCAGCCUCGGGGACAGAGCCAGACCGUGUCUCAAAAAAAAAAAAAAAAAAAAAAAAGUAGCAGAGGGUGGAGCUGGACAGACCUGCUGUCCUGUGUUGGUUCUUAUUACUGGUAUUAUUACCAGUGCCCACCUGCUGAUUCGGACUCUUAGCGACCCCUCCACAGCACUGUCCUGAGGGUGAAAUGAGAUCGGGGACAAAGUGCCACCAACUGGAAAAGGUUAACUCAGAACCAUCUGGCACCCACCAGAACUUCCUACGCCGGGAGUGCGUCAGAACCAGCCGAGGGUGUGAAAGCGGACACUGUCACACUGUGGUAGGAUUCUAAAUCAUUCACUAUUUACAUGAGCACAGAAAUAAACUAGAAUAAGAUGUGUUAA